GUACACGCUGUGACUAGCAUAUCAAUAAGCGGAGGAAAAGAAACUAACAAGGAUUCCCCUAGUAACGGCGAGUGAAGCGGGAAGAGCUCAAAUUUGAAAUCUUAAAGGGUUUCCCUUUACGAAUUGUAGUUUAAAGAAGUGUUUUCUGUUGAGGUUUUGGUAAAAGUUCUUUGGAAUAGGACAUCAUAGAGGGUGAGAAUCCCGUAUUUGACCUUUACUUUCAACUUUGUGAUACACUUUCGAAGAGUCGGAUUGUUUGGGAAUGCAGUCCAAAAUGGGUGGUAAAUUUCAUCUAAAGCUAAAUAUUGGCGAGAGACCGAUAGCGAACAAGUACCGUGAGGGAAAGAUGAAAAGAACUUUGAAAAGAGAGUUAAACAGUACGUGAAAUUGUCAAAAGGGAAGCGUUUGACACCAGUGUUGUUUUUCUGAAAAUCAAUUAAAGAACUGUUUAUGCUAAGUUGUUUAGACUUUAUCAGCUAACUGUUUAGUUUUGAGCUUUUCUUUAAUGCACUUUUCAGUUAACAAGUCAACAUCAAUUUCUUUUGCUGUAAAAAAGCUUGAGGAAGGUGGCUUGAGAUUCGUCUUAAGUGUUUAUAGCCUCUUGCCUAUGCAGUCGGAGAGAUUGAGGUCUGCAGCGUAGAUCCUUCGGGGCUAAAUGCAUUUGUGCUAAGUUAUAGCAUUUUAUAGACAACUUGUUGACUAUGAUUUGUCUUGUAGCUUACUCGCUUAUGUUAUUUUACCUACGCUUAGGAUGUUGAAGAUGUAGCACAUCAU
Molecule: ribosomal RNA, 774 nt
Filed under: uncultured Neocallimastigales
Lineage: Eukaryota; Fungi; Neocallimastigomycota; Neocallimastigomycetes; Neocallimastigales
Description: partial large subunit ribosomal RNA
Rfam family: Eukaryotic large subunit ribosomal RNA
Source: RNAcentral